GCGAUGCAUUAGCUAGUUGGUAAGGUAACGGGCGUUACCAAGGCGAUGAUGCAUAGCCCGAGUUGAGAGACUGAUCGGGCCGACAUUGGGGGCUGAGACACGGGCCCAAACUCCUACGGGAGGCAGCAGUAGGGAAUCUUCCACAAUGGACGAAAAGUCUGAUGGAGCAAACGCCGCGUGAGUGAAGAAGGUUUUCGGAUCGUAAAGCUCUGUUGUUGGUGAAGAAGGAUAGAGGUAGUAACUGGCCCUUUAUUUGACGGUAAUCAACCAGAAAGUCACGGGCUAACUACGUGCCAGCAGCCGCGGUAAAU
RNAcentral lists this ribosomal RNA (311 nucleotides) under uncultured Lactobacillus sp. RNAcentral describes it as "bacterial SSU rRNA". It matches the Rfam family "Bacterial small subunit ribosomal RNA", at positions 233 to 525 of the family's 1533-position model. The record is from RNAcentral. Lineage: Bacteria; Bacillati; Bacillota; Bacilli; Lactobacillales; Lactobacillaceae.